RNAcentral lists this ribosomal RNA (468 nucleotides) under uncultured bacterium. RNAcentral's name for it is "bacterial SSU rRNA". It matches the Rfam family "Bacterial small subunit ribosomal RNA", at positions 335 to 795 of the family's 1533-position model. The record is from RNAcentral.
ACUCCUACGGGAGGCAGCAGUGGGGAAUAUUGCGCAAUGGGGGAAACCCUGACGCAGCGACGCCGCGUGAGCGAAGAAGGCCUUCGGGUUGUAAAGCUCUGUUGUAAGGGACGAAAGAUCAAGGGAAUAACUGCCCUUGAAGUGACGGUACCUUACCAGCAAGCCCCGGCUAACUACGUGCCAGCAGCCGCGGUAAGACGUAGGGGGCGAGCGUUGUCCGGAAUUACUGGGCGUAAAGAGCACGUAGGCGGAUGUAUAAGUCAGGUGUGAAAGACCGCAGCCUAACUGCGGGGUUGCACUUGAAACUGUAUAUCUUGAGGGCAGGAGAGGUUAGUAGAAUUCCUGGUGUAGCGGUGAAAUGCGUAGAAAUCAGGAGGAAUACCAGUGGCGAAGGCGACUAACUGGACUGACCCUGACGCUGAGGUGCGAAAGCGUGGGUAGCAAACAGGAUUAGAUACCCUGGUAGUC